Long non-coding RNA from Photinus pyralis (common eastern firefly), 611 nucleotides. RefSeq lists it as uncharacterized. The transcript has 3 exons. The record is from RefSeq and is a predicted model, not a curated record. Lineage: Eukaryota; Metazoa; Arthropoda; Insecta; Coleoptera; Lampyridae.
AGGGAUACUAACUUUUCUGUGAUAUUAAUUACAAAUGUGCACAUUUGUUGAAUGUGUCCUGUCCUGCGCAGUGUAUGAAUCGGCGUGGAUCAUUUAGAUUUAGAUAAACGUAAACGAUAAACGUAUUCGAUGUGUGCGACCGGUAUGUAAUUCAUGAUGUGCAUUCAAAUACAAAAUGCUACAAAGAGGACGUUAUGGAUGCAAAUCAGAAAUAAACUCGAAAAAGUUGUAUGUUAGUUUUAAAACUUCCUGGAGGAAAUGUGUUCUGGAUGACCAACAAUGUUAACUGUUUGGAUCUGGAUGUUCUUUUUGUAUAGUGCAGUGAGGUAUACCAACGUGGGUCCCCCGUAAUUGUAAACUUUCGUUGUACGUUAGUUUUCGUAUUGGGUAUUCUAAUUACAGUUCUACAGUUCCACCUAAGUCUUGUAUGUGGUCGAUUUUUAUGUUCCACGAACACAAUUCGUGCUUACGACAAGCACCACUAAUGCCAACUAUAAGAGCAACCUUUAAAUGUAAAAUAGAUAUGAUGUAACGAGUAACGAUUUGAAUGUGUAAUGUUAUAGUAGAUAUAAACUGUCGAGGGGGCUUUUUGAAUAAACAUUUUUACUUUG